This is a long non-coding RNA of Callithrix jacchus (white-tufted-ear marmoset), 1612 nucleotides long. RefSeq lists it as uncharacterized. The record is from RefSeq and is a predicted model, not a curated record. NCBI's taxonomy places the organism in Eukaryota, Metazoa, Chordata, Mammalia, Primates, Cebidae.
GGACUGGUAGUCAUGGCAACAGGGGCACAUCCAGAAGUCAGAGCCGGAAAACAGAGCAGGUCAAAUGUGGAACUGGCUUUUGGCUAGAGUGGAGAGGUGAUGCCAGAAGACCAGACAAGAUGCCCUCAAAGCAGCCUCAUGAAGCUAUUUUGCCAGAAGCUCUGUAAGGUGACCGGAUUGUAGAAAUGCCAGAGUGCCUUUUGGGAAUCUAUUGAAAUCCCUGCAGCAUUAUGCAAAUGAGCACAGAAAACUGCAAGUAAUACACCUAGACCCACGGACCUAGUGGAGCUGAUGAAUCAUAGAUUCUACAGUUUUAAUUCCUAGUGCCCCAAACUGAGUAAGGCAGAUUAGUGUGAUCAUUUUUCUGUCUCUUCCUUUAGGACAGUUUGAAAAGGAGCCCAAAUGCCACAACAUUUUGUUUUGUUCAUCAGUGCCACAUCUGUAAUGGCACCUAAAAAAUGCUCUCUACUGAAGGACCCUGACCCUGAAAUACUGAGCCAAGAAUCCUGUCACUGUUCUACAAAACAAUAAAUAAUGAAGUAAAUUGAAGAUGUGUGAAUUGUGCCAGCUUGACAGAAAAUUGAGCCAAUGUUCUCGGAGGUGUUACAACAUUAUUUCCCAACAAGCAGCCGGAGCCUCUCUUCAGAACCUCAGAUACCUAAACCGGAAUGGAGGAUAAGAAAGUGGAAGUAAAGACAAAAGAGAAUAUUUAUUUGGGAUUAAUUUGUAGUUACCUACUUGAGCUGACAGACCUGUACUAAAGAGACAAAGGAAAUGAUGGCUCCUUUAACCAUCAGGCAUAUUGUAUGAACAUCAUUCUCUUUCAUUCCACAUUGGGAAAAACAAAUCCUUUCCCCACAUUUGACUUUGUGUAUAAAGUGUGUUAAUAAAACUAAAUGUGUGUUUACAAAUGUGUUUUAAUAAAAAGUAAUGUAUCUAAUAAAACUAAACAUAGGUGAUCAUAUUUGUUCAAAAAUUCUUGGUUUUUCUUGUAAACAAGGCAUAAAGAGCUUUGUGCACUUCAGUCUCCACCAAAAGGUACCUUCUAUCUUUUGGUAGAGGUACCUUUUGUUAGUUUAUAUAUAGAGGAAGAGGACUUCGUUGAACACUAUAUAUAAACUAACUAUGGUCCUCUAGCUCCUCCACAAAGUCACUCUUCCUCUAUUCUGUGUUGUUUUCCUUAUCAAAUUCACCCCAUCUGAAAUUAUGUACUCAGUUCUUUUUUUAAAAAAUUGUAUCACAUUAUGAGCAUAUAUAUUUCUGUGAGGGAAAUGUCUUUGUAUUGUUUUGCUAGCACCUAAUAAAAUUCUGCAACAUAGUGGAUUUCAGUCAAUAUUUGUAGAAAAGUAAAAGAAAUACAACUUUAAAAUAAACUAAGUGGUGGCGGGGCAUGGUGGCUCACGCUUGUAAUGCCAGCAUUUUGGGAGGCCAAGGUGGGUGGAUCACGAGGGUCAGGAGACUGACACUAUCCUGGUUAACACAGUGAAACCUCGGCUCUACUAAAAAUACAAAAAAUAAUUAGCCAGGCAUGGUGGUGUGCGCCUGUAGUCCCAGCUACUCAGGAGGCUGAGACAGUACAAUUGCUUGAACCCAGGAGGUGGAGGUUGUAGUG